This is a long non-coding RNA of Mirounga angustirostris (Northern elephant seal), 1812 nucleotides long. RefSeq lists it as uncharacterized. The transcript is spliced from 5 exons. The record is from RefSeq and is a predicted model, not a curated record. NCBI's taxonomy places the organism in Eukaryota, Metazoa, Chordata, Mammalia, Carnivora, Phocidae.
GGGAGGGCUGGUUUCGUCUGUGGCGCCAAGUGAGGCUGCUGGCGGGCCACCGGCGGGGCGGGCGACGACAGCGCCCUCGUAGGCAGGCUGGCUGGUGUGUCGGGUUUCAGGGAGUGUACCGGGGAGCCGGCGUAGAGGAUUGUAUGUGUAGUAACAAAAGCAAGAUGGAACUUGGAGGACCUGUUACAUACCUUUGCACAGAGAGGCCUGAGUUUCACGGAUAUGUGCUCACCCUGCAAGACUUAGAGCUAACUAUUGUCAGGGUUCUCACUGUGAACACUUGCUGUCACAGCCCGUGGAAAUGUUUACCUAGAACGCUAUCUGAAUCACCAGCCACAAUGAACUUGUAAGUUUACCACAAGUCCAGGUACUUGAGCUCUUCGAAAGCAGACUGCCAUUGCUUCCGUGUUCUUAUCAUUCAGAGGUGAGGAGAUACAGUUCCUGCCUCUGGUUUGCAUACAGCCAAGAGGUGCAGACGCAGGUCAACAGUUGCUGUGUGCCACUCAAAAAGAGAUUCCUUAACUAUCGAUCGCGGUGAAGAAACAUCUCUGCAGACUAGAAUGUAUCAGCAGGUUGCAGGUGAACAUGGCCUUGAGGUAAAUCCUGCCCCUUGUUGAAAUUUAGUUUCAGCAGACUAUUCAUGGUAUUUUAGGAACUGGAAUAUUUUAGAGAAAAAAAAUGUUUGGUUCUGUUCUAGACUUAUUUUUUCUUCUUGUAGAAGAAACAUGUUUAAACAAAAGUUCUUUAUGCUGAGUAAUUGUGAUGCUUUAAGUUGGUCUUCUGCUUUAAGUGGAUUUUAAAUGUCAAUGGUCAAUGCCAAUUCUAGAUGUUUUUUUCUUGGUCAAAUAAAAAUUUCACUCAAACCUUACAGGUGUCGAGUUUUUAUCAUUUUAUCCAGGUUCGUAUUGCAUGUGAAAUAUUCCAUAAAACCUGUUAGAAUCCGGAAUUCAGACUUGCCUUAUCUGUGAUGCCCUACUUCCUACCUGGCGGUUUCUGUCUCAGUAGCUGAACAGUGUUGAAUACACGCAUGUGUCUAUUUUGUCUACAACGUGAAUCCUCUCUGUGCUCACACUGGCUGUACCUUCCUUAUUUCAGGCUAGUGAUCCAGAUUGGCAGGGCAGGUGUGCACGCGCGUGCAUGUGUGUGUGUGUGUGUGUAUGUAAGGAGCUGGAAGACUGUCAAGGUGAGUUGUUAAUUCAGGAAUCUGAGCUGCUGUUCAUAUCAACAGGCAGAGUUUGGAGACAGAGGAGGUGUUCAUCGUGGGAGACUUUAAGUGUGCUGGAAAACAAGUCGCGGAGCUUUCAGUUCAUCCAAAACCUUAAGUGAGGAGAUGAGCAUGUCUGCUUAGAGAGGCAUCCACAGGGCAGAAUACUAAGUUGUCUCUGAGAAUUGCUUCACAGAUGGAGUCAUUUACUCUGCAUCUUGCAUCUUAACUUACACGCUGGAAGAUGCUGUGUGCAGAGUUUUAAGAGAUAACCAGACACCUGGGCUGGAGAACUGAGAAUGCAGCUGGUGUGGCCGGGUCCUGUGGUCGCAGGAUGGGCAAGAGCAUCCAGGCAGGAAGUCCCGGAGUUGCUGGUGGGGAGACCACUUCGCCCACCAGUGCUCAGCUUGGGUCUUGGUGGGCUGGUGUCUUCUUUCCAGAAACCGUGGUGCAUUUGCUGCGUGCCCUACACUGUUGUGCACUCUCGCGUUCGUCGUUAAAUCUCCCAGUCCUAUGAAAUGGGUACUGUUUUUUCUUUGUUUAAGGGAAACAGGAGCUCUUGAAAUAGUGGGACUUUUCUAGGGUUGACGGCAAAGCAGCUACAGAGU